RNAcentral lists this transfer RNA (62 nucleotides) under Apaloderma vittatum (bar-tailed trogon). It matches the Rfam family "tRNA", at positions 7 to 64 of the family's 71-position model. Rfam says of the family: Transfer RNA (tRNA) molecules are approximately 80 nucleotides in length. Their secondary structure includes four short double-helical elements and three loops (D, anti-codon, and T loops). Further hydrogen bonds mediate the characteristic L-shaped molecular structure. tRNAs have two regions of fundamental functional importance: the anti-codon, which is responsible for specific mRNA codon recognition, and the 3' end, to which the tRNAs corresponding amino acid is attached (by aminoacyl-tRNA synthetases). tRNAs cope with the degeneracy of the genetic code in two manners: having more than one tRNA (with a specific anti-codon) for a particular amino acid; and 'wobble' base-pairing, i.e. permitting non-standard base-pairing at the 3rd anti-codon position. Lineage: Eukaryota; Metazoa; Chordata; Aves; Trogoniformes; Trogonidae. The record is from Rfam by way of RNAcentral.
UUAGCUCACUUGGUUAGAGCGUGGUGCUGAUAACACCAAGGACGAGGGUUCGAGCUCCAUUA